RNAcentral lists this long non-coding RNA (525 nucleotides) under Pan troglodytes (chimpanzee). Its description in RNAcentral is "lncRNA (ENSPTRG00000053968.1)". The record is from RNAcentral. Lineage: Eukaryota; Metazoa; Chordata; Mammalia; Primates; Hominidae.
GUGGGUGGCUAUAAUGGCAGCCUGUAGGUUUGUAUGGAAAACAAGUAUGGCACUGUGAAAAAAUCCUUCUCUCACCCUACAGAUACCUGUACGGAGAACUUGGGAGGCAUUUUUAUAAGCUCAUUGUCAAGUGAAUGUUAAAGUCCCCAUUCACUGAGAAGCAAAGGUAAGUCUGAAAAAUGCGUUGAAAAAAGAAAAGGGGGUGGGGAGUGGGGUGGAAUCACCUAGCAUUGAAGCAGCCUAACCAAGUGACAGACACGUAGACAACUCCGAUGCUGCCAGAAUAACACUCUGCACAGCCCACCAGCAAGCAAUUUGUCACUGCGACAAGAAUAUCCUCCGCAAUUUGGCAUCAGGGUCCUUGGACAGCCAACUGCGCCUGUACAGCACGAGACGUGCUAUUCGGCAACGGGAAGAUGGGAACCAAGAACUAGAAGGAAUAAGUGGAAAUCAGGAGAAACAUUAAAGACAUUCCAGUGUCACUGAGCAUGCCGAAACCUGAAAACAUGAGGAAUCAAAAAUCUG